CCUACGGGAGGCAGCAGUGGGGAAUAUUGCGCAAUGGGCGAAAGCCUGACGCAGCGACGCCGCGUGAGGGAUGAAGGUCUUCGGAUCGUAAACCUCUGUCAGCAGGGAAGAACGGUCACUGUGCUAAUCAGCAGUGAAUUGACGGUACCUGCAAAGGAAGCACCGGCUAACUCCGUGCCAGCAGCCGCGGUAAUACGGAGGGUGCGAGCGUUAAUCGGAAUUACUGGGCGUAAAGCGCUCGUAGGCGGUAUGUCAAGUCAAGGGUGAAAUCCCCGCGCUCAACGUGGGAACUGCCUUUGAAACUAGCAAACUGGAGUGUGUGAGAGGAUAGUGGAAUUCCAGGUGUAGGAGUGAAAGCCGUAGAUAUCUGGAGGAACAUCAGUGGCGAAGGCGACUAUCUGGCAUAUAACUGACGCUGAGGAGCGAAAGCGUGGGUAGCAAACAGGAUUAGAUACCCCAGUAGUC
This 465-nucleotide ribosomal RNA is filed under the name uncultured bacterium. RNAcentral describes it as "partial 16S ribosomal RNA". It matches the Rfam family "Bacterial small subunit ribosomal RNA", at positions 338 to 795 of the family's 1533-position model. The record is from RNAcentral.